AUUGAACGCUGGCGGCAGGCCUAACACAUGCAAGUCGAGCGAGCGGCGGACGGGUGAGUAAUGUCUGGGAAACUGCCUGAUGGCGGGGGAUAACUACUGGAAACGGUAGCUAAUACCGCAUACCAUCAGAUGUGCCCCGAUGGGAGUAGCUAGUAGGUGGGGUAACGGCUCACCUAGGCGACGAUCCCUAGCUGGUCUGAGAGGAUGAGCAGCCACACUGGAACUGAGACACGGUCCAGACUCCGACGGGAGGCAGCAGUGGGGAAGAUUGCAAAAUGGGCGAAAGCCUGAUGCAGCCAUGCCGCGUGUAUGAAGAAGGCCUUCGGGUUGUAAAGUACUUUCAGCGGGGAGGCGUUACCCGCAGAAGAAGCACCGGCUAACUCCGUGCCAGCAGCCGCGGUAAUUC
RNAcentral lists this ribosomal RNA (406 nucleotides) under uncultured bacterium. RNAcentral describes it as "partial 16S ribosomal RNA". It matches the Rfam family "Bacterial small subunit ribosomal RNA", at positions 29 to 526 of the family's 1533-position model. The record is from RNAcentral.